This 119-nucleotide non-coding RNA is filed under the name Thermosediminibacter oceani. The record is from RNAcentral. Lineage: Bacteria; Bacillati; Bacillota; Clostridia; Thermosediminibacterales; Thermosediminibacteraceae. RNAcentral also lists the same sequence under 1 other name.
GGGAAGCCGGUGAAAAUCCGGCGCGGUCCGCGCCACUGUGAGGAGGAGCGACCCCACUUAAUGCCACUGGGAAUACCCCGGGAAGGCGUGGGGAAGCGGUGAAUCCGAGCCAGGAUACC